UGUCCGAGCCAGCUUACACCCACCUUGACUGUUCCUAGGAACCAAUUCCACCGUCAACUAGCAGCCAUUAAGCUGUUAACAUACUGACCUUUUUCUCUAGAGUUCCUUUCGUGUAUAGCCAGAGCACAACCAUGACUAGGUUGAACUAAUCCUAGAUGAUAAAUGCAAACAAAUAGACCCUAUACACACCAAAUGUUUCAUUUCACAAAAAUCAGAAGAAAAGCCAAUCCGGGCUUCAUCAGUUCAUGGAUGUUAAUCAGGAUUCAGGACCACAUCACUAUGUAUAAAUUGAUAUGUAACAGGCGGUAUAUGUCACCAAGAAUGGUGGGUGGUACCUCUCCUGAUCUUCCUCCGGAACGGCCUGCAUGCCUCAAUGCUGAGGUCAACCGCGGCAGCAAGAGCCAUAAAGAUGGCGGCAUCCUCCACGCAUGUCACGUGUCGCAUCGCCAGCUGUACCAAUGGCUUGCUCUUCUUCCUUCCUUCACCUUGCACUCUACAGCUCAUCACAAAUCCGCCAACCACCGGACUCAAAGCCGCAAAGUCUCCGCUGCUCUGCGGGCUUGGCAGUGGGCUUGCUGCUUUGUGGGCACGUCGCUCCGUGUCUAUGUAAAACUCGCCACCCUUUUCAGCGUUGAGGAAGAUCUCCGACAUUAGAAGCUCCCCUCCCUCUGGCAAUUCAGAAAGGAGAUGAAAGCGGCAGCAAAUGGAGUCUCUGACGCCACGUUCGCGCCACGCCUCGAGCUUCCCCCAGGGCUGCCAGCUGUCAGGCCC
Molecule: long non-coding RNA, 771 nt
Organism: Rhododendron vialii
Lineage: Eukaryota; Viridiplantae; Streptophyta; Magnoliopsida; Ericales; Ericaceae
Exons: 2
Source: RefSeq, a predicted model, not a curated record